GAAAGAAAGGGAGAGAGUGAGUGAUUGGAAGUAUGAAAGGGAAAGUACAAGAGCGGAAUGAGGAUUUAGUAACGGUGGAAAAGCAUGUGACGAGAAAGUCUACGACGGAAGCGGAGGUCCAGGGCGCGUGUGUGUGUGUGUACAUAGAGGCGAGCGAUAUAGGUUUAAGGUUAGGUUAGGAAAUAUAUUGUAAUGUAGUGGUAAGCGGAGAGAAGGAGCAUGUAAGAGGUGUAAGAUUGUAACCCUAAGGGGAUCAAUAAAUUAUCAUUCCUUCAAUAACAUAUUUCCUGCACAAUAUUCACAUGGCUCAUUAAACAAUUUAGUCCAAUGUAAAAAUAUAAUAUUUAUUAAAUCUUGAAGAUUAUAA
Odontomachus brunneus is the source of this 367-nucleotide long non-coding RNA. RefSeq lists it as uncharacterized. NCBI's taxonomy places the organism in Eukaryota, Metazoa, Arthropoda, Insecta, Hymenoptera, Formicidae. The record is from RefSeq and is a predicted model, not a curated record. The transcript has 3 exons.